This is a regulatory RNA element of Rhodanobacter sp. OK091, 107 nucleotides long. It matches the Rfam family "Glycine riboswitch aptamer". From Rfam's summary of the family: This family represents the bacterial glycine riboswitch. Glycine riboswitches usually consist of two metabolite-binding aptamers domains with similar structures in tandem. NCBI's taxonomy places the organism in Bacteria, Pseudomonadati, Pseudomonadota, Gammaproteobacteria, Lysobacterales, Rhodanobacteraceae. The record is from Rfam.
CGUAAACACUCUGGAGAGAGCGGCUGCCUUCAUCGGCGCAAGCCGCCGCCGAAGGGGCACGAGGCUUCCGCCUCCAAACUCUCAGGCAAAAGGACAGAGGGGCGCCC